Manduca sexta (tobacco hornworm) is the source of this 903-nucleotide long non-coding RNA. RefSeq lists it as uncharacterized. The record is from RefSeq and is a predicted model, not a curated record. The transcript has 3 exons. Lineage: Eukaryota; Metazoa; Arthropoda; Insecta; Lepidoptera; Sphingidae.
AUAUUUUAUUAUGUUACAAAUUUAAUAAAUGGAAUUAUUAUAGCAGUCGUAUAGUAGAAGUUAUUGUAGUUUACGUUUCGGCAACACCGUGUACUGAAAAAAUGAAUGAAUUCUAUUGAACAAAAUGGCGUUUGUUUACAUUUGUGGUUUGACGAUAAAGAAGGAUUGAAUAACUUUUAAGCUAGCUUUUUUUUAAAUCGUAGAAGUUACUGCGUAAUUAUGGUGAAUACUUGUGUUGUAAGAGGAUGUAAGCAAUAAUCCUAUCCAGGUUGUGGAAUAUCCUUUCAUAGGAUUCCAGUUAAUAAAGAGUGGAGGGCCUUGUGGGUUGAUGCCAUGAACCUUGAUACUAAUGUGACAAAAACUGCAUGUGUUUGUAGCUUACAUUUUACUGAUGAUGCGUAUUUAACAGUAGCUAAGAAUAAGUUAAAGCCACAAGCAGUUCCUUCAGUAUUGCCUAAGAUAGUUCCACAAAGCAACAAAAUUACAGUUCUGCGUAUUCAAAAGUUGAAAGGAGUGUCUUUUUUACAUACUUCAUCUUCUAGUCAUAUCACAGUAGUAGGAACUUCUUAUGAACGAAGAGGACCUUCUAGUAAACGGGAUGAUAUAGAAAUUUCUGGUGAACCGCCCAAUAAAAAAAACAAAAAAGAAGAAUCAAGCAAUAAAUAUUAUAUAUUGGUUACCCAUUGUGUUUUAUUUCCUAAAAUAUUGGUUACAGAUUUAGAAAUCUUUUAUAGAUAAAAAGCUUCCGUAUUUUCUACUGCUACUUGUCUUGUUUCACCGGUCCUGUGGACGACCCGUCGUGUAUGUUGCGCUGCCGCAAAAUUGAGCGCUACUCUGUAACUCUUUGCACUAAGUUAAUACUAUUAAUAUACACGUUAUACCUGGGCCUCUACCUACGGAAAU